Acanthosepion pharaonis is the source of this 109-nucleotide non-coding RNA. The record is from the annotation of a GenBank genome assembly. NCBI's taxonomy places the organism in Eukaryota, Metazoa, Mollusca, Cephalopoda, Sepiida, Sepiidae.
UUACGGCCAUAUCACGUUGAAAUACCGGUUCCCGUACGAUCAAGUAAGUUAAGCAACACCAAGCCUGGUCAGUACCUAGAUGGGUGACCGCAUGGGAAUACCAGAUGCU